CUCACUAUCUCUUGGUGGUAUAAGGUGCAGAUGCAAUCAAGAUAUGCUAAAGAUUGUAAAAUAUGAGGGUUUCAUAAAGAUCUAACAGCAUUUGAUAAGUAAUGCUAAAAACAGAUGAGAAAAUG
This is a long non-coding RNA of Varanus komodoensis (Komodo dragon), 125 nucleotides long. RefSeq lists it as uncharacterized. NCBI's taxonomy places the organism in Eukaryota, Metazoa, Chordata, Lepidosauria, Squamata, Varanidae. The record is from RefSeq and is a predicted model, not a curated record. The transcript has 3 exons.